Molecule: ribosomal RNA, 233 nt
Filed under: uncultured bacterium
Lineage: Bacteria
Description: partial 16S ribosomal RNA
Rfam family: Bacterial small subunit ribosomal RNA
Source: RNAcentral
GUAUGAAAGUGGCGAACGGGUGAGUAACACGUAAGAAUCUACCUUUAGGACGGGGAUAACUUCUGGAAACGGAUGCUAAUACCCGAUAUGCUGUGGAGUGAAAGAAUUUCGCCUAAAGAUGAUCUUGCGUCUGAUUAGCUAGAUAGGGUGGUAACGGCACACUAUGGCGACGAUCAGUAGCUGGUCUGAGAGGGUGAACGGCCACACUGGGACUGAGACACGGCCCAGACUCC